RNAcentral lists this ribosomal RNA (433 nucleotides) under uncultured bacterium. Its description in RNAcentral is "partial 16S ribosomal RNA". It matches the Rfam family "Bacterial small subunit ribosomal RNA", at positions 29 to 507 of the family's 1533-position model. The record is from RNAcentral.
AACGAACGCUGGCGGCAUGCCUAACACAUGCAAGUCGAACGAGACCUUCGGGUCUAGUGGCGCACGGGUGCGUAACGCGCGGGAACCUGCCCUUAGGUUCGGAAUAACUCCCCGAAAGGGGUGCUAAUACCGGAUAAUGUCUUCGGACCAAAGAUUUAUCGCCUUUGGAUGGGCCCGCGUUGGAUUAGCUAGUUGGUAGGGUAAAAGCCUACCAAGGCGACGAUCCAUAGCUGGUCUGAGAGGAUGAUCAGCCACACUGGGACUGAGACACGGCCCAGACUCCUACGGGAGGCAGCAGUGGGGAAUAUUGGACAAUGGGCGAAAGCCUGAUCCGGCAAUGCCGCGUGAGUGAUGAAGGCCUUAGGGUUGUAAAGCUCUUUUACCCGGGAUGAUAAUGACAGUACCGGGAGAAUAAGCUCCGGCUAACUCCGUG